RNAcentral lists this long non-coding RNA (998 nucleotides) under Helianthus annuus (common sunflower). The record is from RNAcentral. Lineage: Eukaryota; Viridiplantae; Streptophyta; Magnoliopsida; Asterales; Asteraceae.
GUUAUCGAACAUUUUUGAAGCUUCUGGACUCGAAACUUGUUCCGUCUGCUGGAUCUGGUGAUUCGAAGGUGUUUUAUUUGAAGAUGAAGGGAGAUUAUCAUCGCUAUCUGGCUGGCUGAGUUUAAAACUGGUGCUGAUCGGAAAGUACGCUUAAUGCGUAUAAGGCUGCUCAGUUAUGACAUUGCCAAUGCUGAACUUGCCCCGACACACCCGAUCCGUCUAGGAUUGGCUCUUAACUUCUCUGUGUUUUACUUAAUGAGAUCUUGAACUCACCAGACCGUGCAUGCGGUUUUGCCAAACAGGCGUUUGAUGAAGCAAUUGCUGAGUUGGAUACUUUGGGCGAAGACUCAUACAAGGACAGCACUUUGAUCAUGCAACUUCUUCGUGACAAUCUUACUUUGUGGACUUCCGAUAUGCAGGAUGAGGGAGGUGAUGAGAUUAAGGAAGUCGGGGCGACCAAACCAAGCGAGGAACAAAAGGAAUGAUAACGUUUACGCCAUUCGAUCCGAUUUCGUGCAUUUAUUUUUAUUAGAAGAAAUACCUUUCAGAGGCUUUGAUCAUCGUAUUGUUAUUGUGUUGAAUCUAACAGUUGUCUCUGCCUUUUCUUCUUACUAAUUUCUACUUAUUUGUAACCCUUUAUUCGGGUGGUGUUUUAUUUACUCGGUAGUUUCUCGUGCUUUAUGUCUAUGUCGUCGUCCAACAAAAUAAAUCUGGUGAGUAGCAUUUCAUUGUAAAUGUUCUGGAAUUUAUGAACAAGACGUACUUUUAAAGAAAAAUAUACAUAGAAAAAAAUAUUUUACAAAGUGCAAACUAUAGCAACUAAUGUACUUUUAAAAAUCUAAGAACCAUAUUCAACAUUUUGGUCAAAACACGGAGAACUCUUUGUAAAAGGAUUUAAAUACGUUUAUGAUAAUUGAUAAGGGUAAAAAAGAUUAGAGAAAAUUGCCAAAUAUACGUUUAUGAUAAUUGACAAGGGUAAAAAAGAUAAGAGAAAAUUG